This 1113-nucleotide long non-coding RNA is filed under the name Homo sapiens (human). RNAcentral describes it as "HSALNT0052533". Lineage: Eukaryota; Metazoa; Chordata; Mammalia; Primates; Hominidae. The record is from RNAcentral.
CUCUGCUCAGAACUCUGAUGGGCUUCAGAGUGGAAUGAGAUCACUUAUCAAAUUGGCAACAGGUCCUCUCUGGCCAUCUCCGUAUAGUUUGACCCAAUGAGUUUGGUUCUCCCUUCUUUGUCAAUUCCCCUGUCUCCUGAAUGUCUCAUUCUCAAACUAAUUUUGCUUGAAAUUGUGGCUGGAGAUGGUAUGUUUGAAACUUAAUAUGAUGAACAUAGAACAGGAAGAUUUCAACACCUUUUUAGCAAAAGAUGUUCACAUAAACCUGAAAUGAAUAUAGCCAAAGAGGACGUGGUCUUUCAGCACCUCCAGCUAAAAAAUGCUGCAGAGGAACUUCCUGUAUUAAGUACAGAUGGGGUUUCACCAUGUUCGCCAGGAUGGUCUCGAUCUCCUGACCUCGUGAUCUGUCCACCUCUGCCUCCCAAAGUGCUGAGAUUACAGGUGUGAGCCACCACUCCCAGCCUUUGUCAUCAUUUCAGAUAGGGUGAAGGAAUGGUUUAAGUCGCCUCCAAGGUAUCUUGUUGGGGGUGAGGGGUACAGAGGGGUCUUACUGAAUGGUGAUGAAAAAGGGGACACAAGCGAAAAAUCAACAUUGGAGAAAAGAUAACUAAACCCUGGGAAGCUUAAGGAACAAAGUGUAACAAAACAACAUGGAUUGUUUUAUAAAAUACUUUGAGAUAUCCAGGAUUAAAAGUAUGAUAAAAAAUAACAUCGUGUAUUUUUGCAGUAACUUUUAAUUUACAAAAACACUUACAUACAUUAUCUCACUAGACUCUUUGACCCUUAUAUGUACUAUGUAAGAAAGGCAGGGCAGGCACCAGAAAUCCAGGGUUACAAAAUCUAGUGAUUGGAACUCAGAGGGAUUGCGAGGCAUGCUCAAAAUCCCACAACUGCGCAAAAAUAGGACAAACAGAAAUAUGUUCACUCAGUGAUUAGAACUCGGAGGGAUUGUGAGGCAUGCUCAAAAUCCCACAACUGCGCAGAAAUAGGACGAAGAGAAAUAUGUUUGCUCAGUCCUAGGUGCAAUACUUAUGACCAGAAUGGGAGGACAGACUGAUCCCCUUUAGAGCUUGAUUUUCCUUCCCUCUGGGAAUAUAUCUGCCUUUGGCACUG